UCGGGAAUUUUGGGCAAUGGGCGAAAGCCUGACCCAGCAACGCCGCGUGAGGGAUGAAGUAUUUCGGUAUGUAAACCUCGAAAGAAUGGGAAGAAUAAAUGACGGUACCAUUUAUAAGCUCCGGCUAACUACGUGCCAGCAGCCGCGGUAAUACGUAGGGAGCAAGCGUUGUUCGGAUUUACUGGGCGUAAAGGGCGCGUAGGCGGCGCGGUAAGUCACUUGUGAAAUCUCUGAGCUUAACUCAGAACGGCCAAGUGAUACUGCUGUGCUAGAGUGCGGAAGAGGCAACCGGAAUUCUUGGUGUAGCGGUGAAAUGCGUAGAUAUCAAGAGGAACACCUGAGUCGUAGGCGGGUUGCUGGGCCGACACUGACGCUGAUGCGCGAAAGCCAGGGGAGCAAACG
Molecule: ribosomal RNA, 402 nt
Filed under: uncultured bacterium
Lineage: Bacteria
Description: bacterial SSU rRNA
Rfam family: Bacterial small subunit ribosomal RNA
Source: RNAcentral